This 750-nucleotide ribosomal RNA is filed under the name Pseudovibrio sp. AU93_Ted1_R2A. RNAcentral describes it as "bacterial SSU rRNA". It matches the Rfam family "Bacterial small subunit ribosomal RNA", at positions 66 to 865 of the family's 1533-position model. The record is from RNAcentral. Lineage: Bacteria; Pseudomonadati; Pseudomonadota; Alphaproteobacteria; Hyphomicrobiales; Stappiaceae.
ACGGAUCCUUCGGGAUUAGUGGCAGACGGGUGAGUAACGCGUGGGAAGCUACCUUGUGGUAGGGGACAACAGUUGGAAACGACUGCUAAUACCCUAUGAGCCCUAUGGGGGAAAGAUUUAUCGCCAUGAGAUGUGCCCGCGUUAGAUUAGCUAGUUGGUAAGGUAAUGGCUUACCAAGGCGACGAUCUAUAGCUGGUCUGAGAGGAUGAUCAGCCUAACUGGGACUGAGACACGGCCCAGACUCCUACGGGAGGCAGCAGUGGGGAAUAUUGGACAAUGGGGGCAACCCUGAUCCAGCCAUGCCGCGUGUGUGAUGACGGCCUUAGGGUUGUAAAGCACUUUCAGCAGUGAAGAUAAUGACAUUAACUGCAGAAGAAGCCCCGGCUAACUUCGUGCCAGCAGCCGCGGUAAUACGAAGGGGGCUAGCGUUGUUCGGAAUCACUGGGCGUAAAGAGUACGUAGGCGGACUGAUAAGUUAGGGGUGAAAUCCCAAGGCUCAACCUUGGAACUGCCUUUGAUACUGUCAGUCUUGAGAUCGAGAGAGGUGAGUGGAACUCCGAGUGUAGAGGUGAAAUUCGUAGAUAUUCGGAAGAACACCAGUGGCGAAGGCGGCUCACUGGCUCGAUACUGACGCUGAGGUACGAAAGCGUGGGGAGCAACAGGAUUAGAUACCCUGGUAGUCCACGCCGUAACGAUGAAUGCUAGUUGUCAGGUAGCUUGCUAUUUGGUGACGCAGCUAACGCAUUAAGC